Molecule: ribosomal RNA, 305 nt
Filed under: uncultured bacterium
Lineage: Bacteria
Description: bacterial SSU rRNA
Rfam family: Bacterial small subunit ribosomal RNA
Source: RNAcentral
GCCUACGGGACGCAGCAGUGGGGAAUAUUGCACAAUGGGGGAAACCCUGAUGCAGCGACGCCGCGUGAGUGAAGAAGUAUUUCGGUAUGUAAAGCUCUAUCAGCAGGGAAGAUAAUGACGGUACCUGACUAAGAAGCCCCGGCUAACUACGUGCCAGCAGCCGCGGUAAUACGUAGGGGGCAAGCGUUAUCCGGAUUUACUGGGUGUAAAGGGUGCGUAGGUGGCAGGGCAAGUCAGAUGUGAAAGCCCGGGGCUCAACCCCGGUACUGCAUUUGAAACUAUCCAGCUGGAGUGCAGGAGAGGUA